This 479-nucleotide ribosomal RNA is filed under the name uncultured organism. Its description in RNAcentral is "partial 16S ribosomal RNA". It matches the Rfam family "Bacterial small subunit ribosomal RNA", at positions 331 to 801 of the family's 1533-position model. The record is from RNAcentral.
GUACACUCCUACGGGAGGCAGCAGUAGGGAAUCUUCGGCAAUGGGGGCAACCCUGACCGAGCAACGCCGCGUGAGUGAAGAAGGUUUUCGGAUCGUAAAGCUCUGUUGUAAGUCAAGAACGAGUGUGAGAGUGGAAAGUUCACACUGUGACGGUAGCUUACCAGAAAGGGACGGCUAACUACGUGCCAGCAGCCGCGGUAAUACGUAGGUCCCGAGCGUUGUCCGGAUUUAUUGGGCGUAAAGCGAGCGCAGGCGGUUUGAUAAGUCUGAAGUUAAAGGCUGUGGCUCAACCAUAGUUCGCUUUGGAAACUGUCAAACUUGAGUGCAGAAGGGGAGAGUGGAAUUCCAUGUGUAGCGGUGAAAUGCGUAGAUAUAUGGAGGAACACCGGUGGCGAAAGCGGCUCUCUGGUCUGUAACUGACGCUGAGGCUCGAAAGCGUGGGGAGCGAACAGGAUUAGAAACCCUUGUAGUCCCAUGAU